CUUCCAGUGUUGCUGGAUUACAACUCCCAUCUGCCCUGGUCACUGGCCAUGCUGGCGGGGGCUGAUGGGAAUUGUAGUCCAGUAACACUGGAAG
Podarcis lilfordi (Lilford's wall lizard) is the source of this 94-nucleotide non-coding RNA. NCBI's taxonomy places the organism in Eukaryota, Metazoa, Chordata, Lepidosauria, Squamata, Lacertidae. The record is from the annotation of a GenBank genome assembly.